Molecule: non-coding RNA, 3119 nt
Organism: Equus caballus (horse)
Lineage: Eukaryota; Metazoa; Chordata; Mammalia; Perissodactyla; Equidae
Source: RefSeq, a predicted model, not a curated record
CGAGCCCCCCGGGAACUGCAGGGGGCUGCGCGGGGCACCGCGGCCGAGCCUGGGAGGCCUCUUCUUGAAUCAGCCCCUUCCGCGCUCCAAACCAAGAAAGGAGGGGUUGCGCGAUGCAAGAUAGACUGGAGACUUGGAUGCCACUCCGGGUCCUGUCACCGUUGCCGGAAACCUUCCCACCUGGGCUCUCCUCUACACUCACUCCUGGCCUCAAUGCUGCCUUGCUGUCUGACCUUAGGUAAGUCCCUGUCCCUCCCUGUGGUUCAUCUUCCCCAUGAGGUAGAUGCCUAGCCAAACCCUGCUCUCUGUCCCUAGCCCAAGGGACCACCUGGAGAAUCCUUCUGGAGAAGAGAUGGCUUUUGGCCCUGACUCUCUCCCAUCCUCUGAGGUCAGGACACUCUGCCCAGGCCUGGUCUGAGGAACACGAGCCAGAUACCUCAUGAGUGACUGAUGUGGCUCUGGCUACUCAGGCUCUGUCUCCUGUCCUCCAGCCACCCCAUGUGGCUGCCCUUCCUCCCCUCCAUGAGGCAGAGACCUGAGCAGACAGAUCGCAUGUGAAUUCAGGCUCUACAGCUUAGGAGGCAGGUGACCUUGAGGAAGGCAUUUCACCUCUCUGAACCUCGGUUUCCUCAUCUGAAAAAGAGGAUAACGAUGGUACCAACCUCCCAGGACUAUUGUGAGGAUUAAACGAGAUGAUCCAUGCAGCACACCCUCAGUAAACGGGAGCUGGGCUUAUUGUUCUCUGACAUUCAAGACCCGGAGGUGGAUCCCAACUGAAUUCUCCAGAAUUAAAUCAACAAAAGUUUACUGAGCGCCCAGUGUGUGUCAGGCACUGCACGCAGCCUGGGGACGGAGCAAAGAACAAAAGUCCCCCUCAUGGAGCUCACAUUCCGGCUUCGCUGCCUUCUCUUCUUUCCCCUCUGCUCCAGCUGGGCCUAUACCAUGGCCCCUCGCUCCAGGCUCCCCCACCCCUCCUGCUUUGGCUCAAGCUGUUUCCUCUUCAUGCCAAACCCCAGCCCCACUUCCUCCCACCCCAGUGGCCAUGGCCAUACCCUUUAAAGAGUGCUUCUCCCCCUCAGCUGGCAAAACUAAGUCCUGAUGUCGGGAGCCCGGGUGGUGAUUAGCCUUGGAGGGUAGACCGGGAGGGGGCUUAUGGGGACCUGCUUUUGGGGUGAUGAAAUGUUUCUUGAUCUGGAUGUGUUCACUUUAUGAAAAUUCAUCGGGCUGCACUCUAAUGACUGGUGUACUUUUCUGUACAAACGUUGCACGUCAAUAAAAAGUUUUCUAAAAAAAUACCGACACCUGGGCCCCCCUCUCAGAAUUCUGAUUGAAUUGGCCUGGCAUGUGGCCUGGGCUCCUCAGGGCAUUCGAAUGUGCAGCCGAGGUUGAGGACCACUGCUUUAGAGGAGCCGAUCCUUCCAGGAGUCUCCCCUGGGCCUGGGGCCUGACAACCAUUCAUCCCAGGACCUCCCCACCCACAGCUGACUGGCUCAGGGCUGCGCACCUGUCCAUGGCAGCCAUGCCUCGGGACGAGGCCCCCGAGGUCACAGUGGGCGGGACCAGGCCCAUUCCUACUGAAGCACUUGAGCUGGGAAGACGCUGAGGACCCGCCGUGGGUAUAUGGUGCUGAAACUACAGUCUGUCCAGGGCCCCGAGACAAAGCGGGCAGAGGCCUUGAGGCAGCAGGAGGUGUGAAGCAGUUAGAACAGCAGCUGUCUGGCGGGGAGGGAUGAACCAGGGACUCAAAGUAGAGAGGCCAGGGGUCCUGAGACGGAGCUCCAAGAUCUGGGCCUGUGUGCUGACAGCUACUUACUGCCAGUUCACGUCUCCACUAAUGAGCCCCCCUUUUAUUUCAGGGAAGAACGAAUCUCUUCCUUGCAAUCCAAAGACCUGUGCCCAGCAAGCAACAGCCUUGUGGGCAAAGGAUUAUCAGCCCCAUUUUACAGAUGAGGAAAUGGAGACAGGGGAUACGGCUCAUCCAAAGACACUUAGCUAGUUAGCGACAAAGUCAAGACUUCUGUUCAGCUUCAAGGCCUGUGCUCCUUCUAAUGCUCUGUUUCAUCAUAAAUUCCACAAGAACAUUGCUUUCUAUUUGGAAAUCUAUGUUUAAUAGAAUCCCCUCCUCCCCAGGUCUUCCCAGUAAAGCGAUGCUGCAGGGAGAUGUGCCAUGCAUGUCGUACGGCACGGAGGGCCCAGCAGACCACCGAUAAGUGUGCAUGCCAGUUUGCCUGCACUCCUCUUUAGCAAGGGCUUUUUGUGAAGUCUCAAUCAUUCGUGUUGGAAAACGUAUACACGUAUGUUCAGCAGAGCUGAGGCAUGAUCCGCCCUUUGCUAGAAGUCAUCGUCUUGAGUCCUGCAGGUGGACCCCGGUGGGAAGGGCUGUCUGCCCAGCGAAGCAUGGCCUCAAGUUGCUGACCUUUGCCUUCCGUGUCUGACUUAAUGACACACCUCUUUGGACCCAAAAUCAGACAGACUUGGGUUCUACCCCUGCUCCCCUCGGCCUUUCGGGUUCCCCAGCCUCGAUGGCGUUUUGCUGGAGAGAGAGCACUCUCACGGAGGAGCCGUGGGCAGGCUCACCAGUUGCCCGGUUUUCCACUUGCAGUACGUGUCAGCUUCCGAUUCCCCAGCCCCAUCACAGACCCACUGACCCAGAAGCUGAGGGGAGCCUGGGAAUGUGUGUUUCUAUGGCUAUAAAUUUAUGUCUUAUGCUUUAUAUUUCCACGUGCUCUCCAAGGGAUUCUAACCGAGGCCUUGGUUACAAAGCAGUGGAUCUGCAGAACCCCUUGUUUUCCUGAUGAGGAAACUGCAGCCCAGACAAGGGCGAUGACCCGCGCAAGAUAACUCAGCAAGUCAGAGGCAGCCUUGCCAUCCCAGCGCCCUUCUGGGGCUCUCAGCCCUCCCUUCUGCCCAAGUAAGUGGGUGUCAGGAGGCCCAUGCGGCUGGGGAGCCCUGAGGUCACUGGCAGGAUGCCACUGCGGCCGCGGAUGGGAGGAGUCAUUUGGUAUUUCUAUUUAUUGACUCUUUAAACUUCAUCAUCCAGGGAAAGUUAAUACAUGACUGUUUGGUAGCAAGAGAAACAUAAUCUAAGACCACAAUGACCCACCCACCCCAAACAAAAA